This 417-nucleotide ribosomal RNA is filed under the name Mecysmauchenius segmentatus. RNAcentral's name for it is "eukaryotic LSU rRNA". It matches the Rfam family "Eukaryotic large subunit ribosomal RNA", at positions 710 to 1110 of the family's 3401-position model. Lineage: Eukaryota; Metazoa; Arthropoda; Arachnida; Araneae; Mecysmaucheniidae. The record is from RNAcentral.
GGUUCCCUCAGAACCUGGUCAGAGUUGGGACUCUCCGUCUUAAGGGGCGCGAGAAGCACCAACGACCCGUCCUUUUCGAUUUAUCGGUUGGGCGGAGUCUGAGCGCACACGUUGGUACCCGAAAGAUGGUGAACUAUGCCUGGGCAGGACGAAGCCAGAGGAAACUCUGGUGGAGGUCCGCAGCAGUUCUGACGUGCAAAUCGAUUGUCAGACCUGGGUAUAGGGGCGAAAGACUAAUCGAACCAUCUAGUAGCUGGUUCCCUCCGAAGUUUCCCUCAGGAUAGCUGGCACUCGGAGAUUUCAGUCUCAUCCGGUAAAGCGAAUGAUUAGAGGCCUUGGGGCCGAAACGACCUCAACCUAUUCUCAAACUUUAAAUGGGUGAGAAGUUCGGCUUGCGUAAAAGAAGCCCGGACGCGU